AUGCGCCGGGUUUGCCCUCAGGUGAGAGAGGCCAACUCCGCACGCCGGGAGGGAGAGGGGCGGGCUCGUGCCCAGAGGAAGGGACCACGACGUCUCGGGAACUCCCCGUUCACCCCAAGUGCCGACCCCGGCAGGAACGUAGACCUGGCAAAGACGGGCCUAAAUCUCAACGUCUUUGGAACAAAGCAGCUCUUGUGUGGCAAGCAGGAGAGGAGCCCUGGGGACAGGAGUCCCACCUGGAAGAAAAGUUUAUCUGACAGGAACCAUAUUCACCAAAGCUUCAGAACAAAUGCAGAAGAACCCAGAAAAGAGUGGGUCCUAAUUUGUUCCACCAGAAGCAUUUUGUUAUUACCUUUUCCAGAAAGAGCCAGACUUGGUGAUGUCACCACAUCCAGAAGCCAUCACAGACUGUAUGACAGUGGAAACUGGUCCAGCUUGCAGAAGCUUAUCCUUCACAGUUGUCCGUACUCUCCCAACAACAGCAGAAAAUGGACACAACUCAGGUGAGUUGUAUGUAUGCACCUUUUUUUAUAAUAAAUAUAAAUA
This 546-nucleotide long non-coding RNA is filed under the name Lynx canadensis (Canada lynx). RNAcentral describes it as "lncRNA (ENSLCNG00005015867.1)". Lineage: Eukaryota; Metazoa; Chordata; Mammalia; Carnivora; Felidae. The record is from RNAcentral.